UGAGUAUCCUAAGGCGCUCGAGAGAACUGCGGUUAAGGAACUAGGCAAUCUAACCCCGUAACUUAGGGAGAAGGGGUCCCUCCUCCUUCAUUGGAGAGGGCGCAGGAAGCAGACUGGGCGACUGUUUAUCAAAAACACAGCUCUGUGCUAACUCGUAAGAGGAUGUAUACAGAGUGACGCCUGCUCGGUGCCGGAAUGUUAAGGAAGUUGGUCAGGGGUUCGCCCCGAAGCUAGCGACCGAAGCACCGGUAAACGGCGGCCGUAACUAUGACGGUCCUAAGGUAGCGAAGUUCCUUGUCGGGUAAGUUCCGACGUGCAUGAACGGCGUAACGACUUGGUCGCUGUCUCAACCGCAGACUCGGUGAAAUUGAAGUGGCGGUGAAGAUACCGUCUACCCGCAGCAAGACGGAAAGACCCCGUGGACCUUUACUAUAGUCUGGUACUGAUGCCGGUUAUGGACUGCGUAGGAUAGGUGGGAGGCGUUGAUCUCUCGGUUCCGGCCGAGAGGGAGCCAAUGGUGAAAUACCACCCUGUUUGUAUUCGUCAUCUCACCCUGAUCCCAUGAGACUGGGCAGGGAACCGUGCUAGAUGGGUAGUUUGACUGGGGCGGUCUCCUCCAAAAGAGUAACGGAGGAGUGCAAAGGCAAGCUCAGGACGGUUGACAAUCGUCCGUCGAGCGUAAAGGUAGAAGCUUGCUUGACUGCGAGUGCAACAGCACGAGCAGAGCUGAAAGGCGGCCUUAGUGAUCCUGUGGUUGCGUGUGGAAGCGCCAUAGCUCAACGGAUAAAAGGUACCCCGGGGAUAACAGGCUGAUCGCCCCCGAGCGUCCAUAGCGGCGGGGCGGUUUGGCACCUCGAUGUCGGCCCAUCGCAUCCUGGGGCUGAAGGCGGUCCCAAGGGUUUGGCUGUUCGCCAAUUAAAGCGGUACGCGAGCUGGGUUCAGACCGGCGUGAGCCAGGUCGGUCCCUAUCUGCUGUGGGCGUAGGAACCUUGACGGCGAUUCAACUAUAGUACGAGAGGAUUUAGUUGGACUGACCCCUGGUGUACCAGUUGUCCUGCUAAGGGCACGGCUGGGUAGCUAUGUCAGGAACGAAUAAACGCUGAAAGCAUCUAAGCGUGAAGUCAACGCCAAGACGAGGGUUCCAUGGGAGCUUGCUCCCGAGAGACCCCGAGUAGACCACUCGGUUGAUAGGCCGGAGCUGUAAGGCCCGAAAGGGUUUCAGGUUACCGGUACUAACGGUCGAUAGCUUGACCG
This 1254-nucleotide ribosomal RNA is filed under the name metagenome. RNAcentral describes it as "bacterial LSU rRNA". It matches the Rfam family "Bacterial large subunit ribosomal RNA", at positions 1673 to 2925 of the family's 2925-position model. The record is from RNAcentral.